Molecule: non-coding RNA, 73 nt
Organism: Phrynosoma platyrhinos (Desert horned lizard)
Lineage: Eukaryota; Metazoa; Chordata; Lepidosauria; Squamata; Phrynosomatidae
Source: the annotation of a GenBank genome assembly
GCCAGCGUGGCAUAGUGGUUUGAGUGUAGGUCUACUCUGGAGACUGGCCAGGGUCCAAAUCCCUGUUUGGGCA